ACGCGUGGGUAACCUGGCCCAUACAGGGGGAUAACACUUAGAAAUAGGUGCUAAUACCGCAUAACAACAGAAAGCGCAUGCUUUUUGUUUGAAAACCAAGGUGGUAUGGGAUGGACCCGCGUCUGAUUAGCUGGUUGGCGGGGUAAAGGCCCACCAAGGCGACGAUCAGUAGCCGGCCUGAGAGGGUGGACGGCCACAUUGGGACUGAGACACGGCCCAAACUCCUACGGGAGGCAGCAGUGGGGAAUAUUGCACAAUGGGGGAAACCCUGAUGCAGCGACGCCGCGUGAGUGAAGAAGUAAUUCGUUAUGUAAAGCUCUAUCAGCAGGGAAGAAAAUGACGGUACCUGAGUAAGAAGCCCCGGCUAACUACGUGCCAGCAGCCGCGGUAAUACGUAGGGGGCAAGCGUUAUCCGGAUUUACUGGGUGUAAAGGGAGCGUAGACGGCAGUGCAAGUCUGGAGUGAAAGGCGGGGGCUCAACCCCCGGACUGCUCUGGAAACUGUACGGCUGGAGUGCAGGAGAGGUAAGUGGAAUUCCUAGUGUAGCGGUGAAAUGCGUAGAUAUUAGGAGGAACACCAGUGGCGAAGGCGGCUUACUGGACUGUAACUGACGUUGAGGCUCGAAAGCGUGGGGAGCAAACAGGAUUAGAUACCCUGGUAGUCCACGCCGUAAACGAUGAUCACUAGGUGU
Molecule: ribosomal RNA, 691 nt
Filed under: uncultured bacterium
Lineage: Bacteria
Description: bacterial SSU rRNA
Rfam family: Bacterial small subunit ribosomal RNA
Source: RNAcentral